This 260-nucleotide long non-coding RNA is filed under the name Volvox carteri. RNAcentral's name for it is "long non-coding RNA (VCAR_LNC003417)". The record is from RNAcentral. Lineage: Eukaryota; Viridiplantae; Chlorophyta; Chlorophyceae; Chlamydomonadales; Volvocaceae.
CAAAAUCCGUACGGCAGCUGUAUUCGUCGUGUUCAAGUGGCGUACAUGAGCGACAUCCCGCGACAUACAUACAUACAUCCAUACAUACAUGUACAUACACAAGCAUGCAUACAGCCACACACACAGCCACACACACAGCCGCACACAGCCACGGUUUCAGGAUGAGGAGGAAGAUGCGCACUAAGGGAUGUCGUACAGAAAACAACUCCACCUCCAAACAAAAGUCUUUGACAAAAAAGCAAUGUCAAAUACAAAUUAAU